ACACUAAAACUGCUUUAUUUAGCUAAAGUAAUUUAGGUGACUAUAGUGUUCCUUUAUUAUUCCCAUAAAUUUGUAUGUCAGUGUAAGAAUUUGCUAAAAUUGCUCAGCCUUUUCUAAGGUUAGAAGAGGGGGAGAUUUAACAAUAAAUGCUUACUGUCGAUGAUGAUGCUAAUAUUUAAAAGUGCUAUGGAAUGUAUUGGUGCUCUAUAAAUGCUGAUAAUAAAAUAAUUAUGGGAGACUGCUUGUAUACGAUAAGUCAGAUUUGAAGCCUAGCGUGGUGUAUCUUUUUGAUUAUUCUAUAAAGCAG
Pelobates cultripes (western spadefoot toad) is the source of this 307-nucleotide non-coding RNA. The record is from the annotation of a GenBank genome assembly. NCBI's taxonomy places the organism in Eukaryota, Metazoa, Chordata, Amphibia, Anura, Pelobatidae.